UUAUAGAAGUCGUAGUGACCUGCGAGGAUCAUUAAAGAGUAAGGGUGCUCAGCGCCCGACCUCCAACCCUCUGUUGUUAAAACUACCUUGUUGCUUUGGCGGGACCGCUCGGUCUCGAGCCGCUGGGGAUUCGUCCCAGGCGAGCGCCCGCCAGAGUUAAACCAAACUCUUGUUAUAUAAACCGGUCGUCUGAGUUAAAAUUUUGAAUAAAUCAAAACUUUCAACAACGGAUCUCUUGGUUCUCGCAUCGAUGAAGAACGCAGCGAAAUGCGAUAAGUAAUGUGAAUUGCAGAAUUCAGUGAAUCAUCGAAUCUUUGAACGCACAUUGCGCCCCUUGGUAUUCCGAGGGGCAUGCCUGUUCGAGCGUCAUUACACCACUCAAGCUAUGCUUGGUAUUGGGCGUCCGUCCCUUCGGGGGCGCGCCUUAAAGACCUCGGCGAGGCCUCACCGGCUUUAGGCGUAGUAGAAUUUAUUCGAACGUCUGUCAAUGGAGAGGACUUCUGCCGACUGAAACCUUUUAAAUUUUUCUAGGUUGACCUCGGAUCAGGUAGGGAUACCCGCUGAACUUAAGCAUAUCAAUAAGCGGAGGAA
RNAcentral lists this ribosomal RNA (591 nucleotides) under fungal endophyte. Its description in RNAcentral is "eukaryotic LSU rRNA". The stretch from base 216 to 369 matches the Rfam family "5.8S ribosomal RNA". The record is from RNAcentral. Lineage: Eukaryota; Fungi.